AGCAUUUCUCUGCCUUAUAGCUAAGAUCAAGUGUAGUAUCUGUUUUUAUCAGUUUAAUAUCAGAUAUAUUCCUUAUCUGCAAACCAUGUAUUAAUUAGAUUUUUGAGACAGAUAUGGCAUAGUAGUUCGCUUGGUCCAAUCUACAGACUGACUUCAUGUUGCAGUACUUUUAGAAAGAGAGUACCUUUU
This is a small nuclear RNA of Protopterus annectens (West African lungfish), 189 nucleotides long. RefSeq annotates it as U2 spliceosomal RNA. NCBI's taxonomy places the organism in Eukaryota, Metazoa, Chordata, Ceratodontiformes, Protopteridae. The record is from RefSeq and is a predicted model, not a curated record. The transcript has a single exon.